Molecule: ribosomal RNA, 301 nt
Filed under: uncultured bacterium
Lineage: Bacteria
Description: partial 16S ribosomal RNA
Rfam family: Bacterial small subunit ribosomal RNA
Source: RNAcentral
CAGCGCCGCGGUAAAACGAAGGGGGCUAGCGUUGCUCGGAAUGACUGGGCGUAAAGGGCGCGUAGGCGGUUCGUACAGUCGGAUGUGAAAUUCCUGAGCUUAACCUGGGGACUGCAUCCGAUACGUGCGGGCUUGAGUGUGUCAGAGGAUGGUGGAAUUCCCGGUGUAGCGGUGAAAUGCGUAGAGAUCGGGAGGAACAUCAGUGGCGAAGGCGGCCAUCUGGGACAACAUUGACGCUGAGGCACGAAAGCGUGGGGAGCAAACAGGAUUAGAUACCCCGGUAGUCCCUGUCUCUUAUACA